CCUGUCUCACGAGAAGGGCAGAGAGUAGUGGGUUUCUUUAUCUAUAAUAGUAAUGGAAGAAUGGAAUCAUUUCAAGUCAUUUCCUGUAAAAGAAACAACAGCUGACGUCCCUCUGAUAUAAACUGUACAAUAAUGCUUCCUCUGCUUGUGGAAUGGAAUACCCAUUCCGUACGAGCCUGGAAUACAGACACAUCAUUCCACUGUUUUCUGUUUGUUUGUUUGUUUUUAACUUUAUGAACGACAGUAUUUUCAGCUUCAGGCCAUAUAUUAUUCCAGCUCUUUCUUUCAUUCCAUGUCAGGGACAUAGCUCCGGUGUAAAGGUUGCCAUUGUCCUCCUGUCUAUGGGAUUGCCAGUGAGCCUUGAGACAGAAAGCUGCAGAGUCGCAGACAACAGCAUGGGGCUAUCUCCAAGCUGUAGCACGAUCCGCAUAUCCCUGCUCUUCCUCAGCGAGGAAGCUGAUUACCUUUGUGCUCUGCCUCAUGCUUUGUGCCCAUGUGUCUUUUCAUACUCCCCUUCCUGUAUCAUUUCUCCCUAUUCCUCUCAAGUUUUCUUUCCCAUUCUCCUUCCUCAUAAUGCCUUCUUUGUAGUCAGACUCCACUGCUCCUGGGCCUUGUUUUGGGAGGGCUCAUUCAUUAUUACGGCUCUAAAAGAAAACCUCUCAUUGCUUCAACUACACAAUUUCCUGCCUCCAUUUUCUGUCAGCAGAUACAUUAUAGCCCAUUUUCUACCAAAAGUAGGUACUAUUACAUACAUUUUAUUUGAGAUGGAUUUAGCUGUUAUGCAAAUAAUUAGUCGGAUAUCUCUGCUUGGCAAUUUAUUCAUCCAGGGGUGAAUUAAAAAUGCGUGCCGUGGAAUUUUCUGGAAAAAAAUUUAAUGUCUAAAACUUAACAGUAUGAAAACAAAGUUGACAGUUCUUUGUUCUUUAGUGAAGGGAAAAGAGAUGAGGCAAUAUUAUUGAAGAGAUGAAGAGUGGCUAGCUGAGAAAUAGACAAAGGGAAAGUUGAAAAGAGAAAAGCUACAGGGAAAGGAAGAAAGGAAGGAAAGAGGACACCUAGGAUAAAGGAAACACUGUGAAAGAGCAGAUGAAUGGAGGACAGGAGAGGGGCAGAGAGAGGCAAGGAGGAAAGGCUGGGUUUCCAUAGCAGCGACAUCAGCGUUAAGUUCUGUUUGUGAUGCUGCAGUGACAACUUCUGAAACCCUUACUCUGCUUGGACGAAGGCUCCAGGAUGCAUCUCUUGUCUCUCGCCUUUCUGAUGUUCAUGUUUGACAGCUGUCUACCACAUGGGCUUUUUUGUUUGCUUGUUUGUUUACGUUCCUCCUGGAGCACUGUAAUUAUUAACCCGUUCUUUUGAGCCAGAAGUUUUCUUCCUCUUGCCCAGAGCAAGUUUUUGUAGUUGAAUAAAACCAACCAACCAACAACCAAACGAAAGUGAAGGAUAGUUUAGGAAGCACUAAAAAACGGGAACACUUGGAUACCUUCUCGUCUAAGCUCAUUGCCGUGUACGUGGCGUUUGCAAUAAAUCUCCUUCGACAAAGUCCUGGCCACCGGAAGCCUUUCAGAGAUCUAGUAACCCGUUACCUUUGGCGAGUAAGGAAGGAGCCAUUGAGGAUGGCUAAGAGCUGAGCUAUGGCGAUGUGAUGUCCUAUGAGGAUCACAAGAACUCAAGACUCAAGAGUUUUAACACUGAGGGAAGAACACUUUGCCCACUUGUGGUUAUCUAGAAGGAUGGAAAAAAGAAACAUUAGCCUACUGUACAUACAGACAAGAAGGAGAUUGUCAAAUGUCAGCCGGAUAAGGAGACCCAGUCUUCAGGACAGUCAAGUAGCAGUAAAAGGGAACCUGGGAGUCUUGGUGAAAACACAAUUCCUCGGGAAACUGACAGCUACUUCACCCCCAGCAAGGGCUACUCCAAAGCUCUUGCUGUGAGGAUGUAGGCACAGAGUUAGCUUACCUGAUAUAUGAGUUGUGAUACAUGACUUUCAAAAUGUGGCAUCAUUUUAUUUGUCUAGAAUCCUCGUGGAUUAGGUCAUAGGAUGUUUCAUUCAUUGUUUGCAAUUGAACAGGUAUUAAAAUGGAAGAUGCUGUAUAUAAAAGAGAGCAUCUGUCUCACGAGCUUUGAAAAGGUCAACCGUCCUUCCAGGGGCACCUUUAUAUGAGACAUUCCUUUUGUUCUCAUUCAUAAGUGUUCAAACCCCACAUCUUACAUAAUCUUAUUUCAGAGCAACACUGAAAAGAAGGUUAUGUUUCACUCCUUAUUUAAACACAGCUAUAAGAAGAUAUAAAAUGUUAAGACUUUCUGUGCUAAAUAUUUGUAAUGAAAAGCAUUUAUAUAGAAAAGUUAUCAUACAUGAAAUGCUGCAUUUUAUGUUUUAGACCUAAUGGUAAAAUAUGAUGCCUAUGGAGAAGAGCACAAAAUCACACAUGUACAUUUUGGUGAAUGGUGUUCUGUCUGGCUGUGAGUAUGAAGGUGUGUAUACACUUGUGUGGAGGUGAAUGUGGAGGUCAGAGGGGAACCUUAGAGGUCAUUCUUUUGAUGCAAUGUAUUCUGUUUUUAGAAUUAAGGUCUCUCAUUGGCCUCAAGUUCCUGAAUAAGCCAGGCUAUUUGACCAGUGAGCCUACUUAAUCUGCAGGUCUCUUCCCUGUCACUCUGCCUAUACUCACCCACCUCCCUCUCCUAUUUUUUUUUAUUAUUUAAAACAAUUUUUAAAAUUUAAAUGUAUUUUGAUCAUAUCCUUUUUUUUUAAGAUUUAUUCAUUUAUUAUAUAUAAGUACACUGUAGCUGUCUUCAGAUACACCAGAAGAGGGCAUCAGAUCUCUUUACAGAUGGUUGUGAGCCACCAUGUGGUUGCUGGGAAUUGAACUCAGGACCUCUGGAAGAGCAGUCGGUGCUCUUAACCGCUGGGCCAUCUCUCCAGCCCUUGAUCAUAUCCUUAAAUUCCCCCAAAUCCUUCUAGAUUCUUUCCUCAUAUGUACCCACCCAACCUUAAGUUAUUUCUUUUAAAGCAAAUAAAACCCAGUACAAGAUAUCAAAAUAAAAGCACAUCUCAAAAGAGAAAAAACUAUAAAUAAAUAAAACCACACACAUACUCACAUGUAUAUACACAUGCGCACACAUACACGUGCACGCAGACAUCACAAAUAAAACUUAACAUACAAAAUUGUUUGUUCAACUACUCCUAAACAUAAGACCUUAGUGGAAUGAUUGGUGUAUCCAAUGUCAUUCCAUUAGCAAAAAGUGAUGAUCUCUCUCCAGUUCCCUUAUGAAAGCACUUAGUACUAUGAUCACUCUCUUCUGAGCACUGCUUUCGUGUGUCCCGUCCCAUCAGUUUAGGUAUGUUGUGCCUUCAUUUUCAUUGAAAUUCAUUCUUUCUCUCUCUCCCUUCCUUCCUUCCUUCUUUCCUUCCUUCCUUCCUUCCUUCCUUUCUUUCCUUCCUUCCUUUCUUUCCUUCUGCCUUUCUUUCCUUCUUUCUUUCUUUCUUUCUUUCUUUCUUUCUUUCUUUCUUUCUUUCUUCUUUCUUCCUUCCUUCCUUCCUUCCUUCCUUCCUUUCUUUCCUUCUUUCUUUCUUCCUUCCUUCCUUUCUUUCUUUCUUUCUUUCUUUCUUUCUUUCCUUCUCUCUCUCUUUCUUUCUUAACCAAAUGGUUCUUGGGUAGAGGCUUGCUCCAUUUCCAUGAGUUUGUAGUAGGCUUUUUGUUGUUGUUGAAGUCCAGCUCCAUUCCAUGGUGUUUGACAGAUACAUGGGAUUAUGGGGUUAUAUCAAUUUUCUUGUAUCUGUGGGAGAUGGCUUGUGAUUUAGAGGAGGUUCUAUAAGGUUCUGAGAACGAGAUAUAUUCUUUUGUGUUUGGGUGAAAUGUUCUGUAGAUAUCUGGUAGGUCCAUUUGAUUUAUAAUGUCUGUUAAUUUCAAUACUUCUGUGUAGUUGCUGUCUUGAUGAUCUGCCCAUUGGUGAUAGUGGGGUGUUGAUUUCUGGGAAGCCCACAUGUUCCUCCAUUUUGCUUAGCAUGCCAACACAUGGGAGUGCAUGUAAAAGGGAGAAGGAAGAUCUGCUUUUCCCUGGUGUUGGUUAGUUGUACCAGAUGCAGACAGGACUCCUCUUUGAGGCAGGCAAAGCCUUGGGCCUGACAGUGGAACUCAGGAGACAGCAUACUGCUCACCUCUGUUGGAUGUGCCCCUGGUGUAACUGAGUGUUUCUGGUGUCCCCCAGGCUUGCUCAGUAAGAGAGGCAGAGUAGUGGGCCUGUUGACACAGCGCAGAUCUCCUCUGAUGGCUGUGCCCCAGGUGGACCCAGCAGGCUUGGGAUGGGGAGGGGUCUAACCUAGAUGUUCCUAGAGCCCAGCAAGUCUUUUCAGCAGGAAAUUUGAUUGGGCUGGCAACAGGGAACCAUGUGCAGCACAAUUCUCUGUAGUAUAUAUUUCAUAAUUUACUAACCGUGAAACAAUUAAGACAUUCUUCAAUAGGCCAAUGACAUGAACUGUGCUAUAACUAUAAAUUGCAAUAUUAUUUAAGAUCAUAAAGAAAAUAGCUAUGGGAUUACGAGUUACAAAAGGACAGGAAAAAGCUUAAAGAUGCAUUACUAAGGUAAAUAAACUAACAAUAAAAGGCAAAACUCUGUACCAUUCUAAGCGUGUGACAUUUUGGGCAGAAUAAAGUAAAAGAAAAAGUAUUUUUAAUUCCCAAUGUUUGAGAGUGUGGGAACAAAUAGAAAAGCACAGAAUAUUUUAGGGAAAUUAAAAUAGCUCUGUGAUCCUAUUAUAGUAGAUACAAACCGUUCAAUGUUCAUCGGCUUUUGUUUUGUGUUGGUUUAGAGAAGGGAAUGUGCAACAUGGAAAGGGUAACCUAAAAUAAAUCAAGGCCUUUGCAUGAUUAUUUUAGGUCAAUGUAGGCUCAACAACUGCGAUAAGCAUUUCAUUGAAGUUUGGGUAGUGAUAAGAUGAGAGCUCUGUUGUGCUAUAGAUAUGGAGUGAACAGAAAAUCCCUGGUUUCUCCUCCUUUUCUCAGUCCUCUUAUCUUCUAUAAAGUCUUUUAUUUGAAGUAAACAUUCACUACUCUACUUACAUCAUUAAAGGAAGAGGACUUCUAUAUUCUUAUUACCAAGUGUCCAAGUCUCAGAAAAGUAUCUGUAACAAUUAUGAAGAUAAGAAAACACUUCAGAAUGAAUCAUAACAUAACACAAAAGAGAAAACGACAACACAGAAUCCAAGACAGUUUCCCCCUAGCCCAUGUUUUAGUAUAUAUCUAAAUAAAAGUCAUAAUCCUGGAUUUUCAGCCUAUCUUUUAUUAUAUUGAUACCUCCUUCCCUUGCCAUGGUUCUUAGUAUACACCAACAUAGCUGGGAUGGUGUUUGUAUUAUGUCCAGUUCAUUUCUUUCAGACAAAACAUCUCAUAGCUCUUAAUAGUUUUGAUAAUAGUAUAAUUUUUUUCAUUCACUACUUUGCUCACACCAUUUUCUGAAAUUUUUUUUUUCUUUUUCUUUUUUUUCGGAGCUGGGGAUCGAACCCAGGGCCUUGCGCUUACUAGGCAAGUGCUCUACCGCUGAGCUAAAUCCCCAACCCCCUGGAAUUUUUUUUUAAUUUUAUGGUUUCUAUUGCUUUUAAUUUAAGCCAAAAAAGUUGAGUGUUAAGAAAGUAACAUCUCACUUGGUAUUCUUUCUUCACUGCUGCAAGCAACUUGUUUCAUCCUAACCACUAUAACUGAACGAAAUAUUAUUCAAGUAUCUGUGGAAUUUAAUUAUAAUGCUGAGUGCAAAUUCUAGAGAAACACUAUAAUUAUGGCUUCGAUGUGUGGGCUGGUAAGG
Non-coding RNA from Rattus norvegicus (Norway rat), 5793 nucleotides. Lineage: Eukaryota; Metazoa; Chordata; Mammalia; Rodentia; Muridae. The record is from RefSeq and is a predicted model, not a curated record.